RNAcentral lists this ribosomal RNA (253 nucleotides) under uncultured bacterium. RNAcentral describes it as "partial 16S ribosomal RNA". It matches the Rfam family "Bacterial small subunit ribosomal RNA", at positions 524 to 776 of the family's 1533-position model. The record is from RNAcentral.
UACAGAGGGGGCAGGCGUUGUUCGGAAUUACUGGGCGUAAAGGGCGCGUAGGCGGCCUGCUAAGUCGAACGUGAAAUCCCUGGGCUCAACCCAGGAACUGCGUCCGAUACUGGUUGGCUUGAAUCCGGGAGAGGGAUGUGGAAUUCCAGGUGUAGCGGUGAAAUGCGCAGAUAUCAGGAGGAACACCGGUGGCGAAGGCGGGUCUCUGGGCCGAUACUGACGCUGAGGAGCGAAAGCGUGGGGAGCGAACAGG